Molecule: small RNA, 539 nt
Filed under: chicken gut metagenome
Description: ROOL RNA
Rfam family: ROOL RNA
About the family: Firmicutes, Fusobacteria (1 example), Tenericutes (1 example). Environment (Cow rumen (57))
Source: RNAcentral
AAUACCAAUUAUUAACCAUGUGCAUAACUACAAUAUCAUGUAGCAUGGAGCUGUCCGAUAAGUAGUCAGCUAGACGGAUACGUUUAGAAGGUUGCUUUCUAAGUAUAGUAAUAUAUUUAGAGAAGAGGUAAAACUCAAAACUGGAUAGUGUGCAAAUAUUAUCGCUUAAUAAAAUACUAGAGUUGUCGUAGUCGUAAUAGACGGCACAGUGUGCAAUAAGCCUGCAUCUCAUAUGUGGCAGUAUGAAGCAAUACAGGUAAUGCUAAACAAGACUAUUUCUCGUGAUGACAAAGAAAUUCGGAUAUAAGACAUAACUAGGUUAAAGUAGCCCAAGCGAGAUAAUAUGCAGAAAACAAUGAUAUAGGAAAUAUCAAGCAAAUUCUGAAUGAUGGGUGAAAUUUGCAAGUAGUCAAUCUUGCACGAGCUAGAAAGGGGUAAGAAGUUAUAAGGUCGCUACUUAUAGCUCAGACUUACUCUCUCGGUGAUUGAAUAAUUAAGAUAGAUAAGUAUUUGUAAGGGGAAACUCUAAUAAUAUAUAU